GCACGCCAAGAAACGAUGUACGCUAAACGAUACGAUAUACGCUAAACGAAACGAUGUACGCUAAACGAUACGGUAUACGCUAAAUGAAACGAUUUACGCAAAACCAUAGGAUAUACGAUAAAAGGGCGCUUAUGUUAUCGUUUAUGGUAUGGUUUAUGGUACAUGGUUUCGUUCGUACAUCAUUCGUUCAGCGUCCGUACAACGUUCGGUCAGCGUUUCGUUUGCAUUCGUACACCGUUCGGGAAGCGUACGUACAUCGUUCGGGCAUCGUCCGUACAUGGUUCGGGCAUCGUUCGUAUUGUUAACUUUUACGUUACACGGACUGUAAGUCUGUGGCUGCUGUUUUUUUUUUUAAACUCAUGAACAAGUUCAUAACAAAAUUACUAGAUUACAAAAGGAAUGCAACACUAACAGAAUACAGAAGGGCAAUCAAUGAACAAUAGACAAAUAAAUAAGAAACAUUGAUCCCGAAAAAUCAGGGCUACGUCUGAGGGAAAACAGAAUUUGCUUCUUGCAAGGCACUUGCUGUGA
This 531-nucleotide long non-coding RNA is filed under the name Mytilus galloprovincialis (Mediterranean mussel). Lineage: Eukaryota; Metazoa; Mollusca; Bivalvia; Mytilida; Mytilidae. The record is from RNAcentral.